UGGGGAAUAUUGCACAAUGGGCGCAAGCCUGAUGCAGCCAUGCCGCGUGUGUGAAGAAGGCCUUCGGGUUGUAAAGCACUUUCAGCGAGGAGGAAGGUGGUGGACUUAAUACGUUCAUCAAUUGACGUUACUCGCAGAAGAAGCACCGGCUAACUCCGUGCCAGCAGCCGCGGUAAUACGGAGGGUGCAAGCGUUAAUCGGAAUUACUGGGCGUAAAGCGCACGCAGGCGGUUUGUUAAGUCAGAUGUGAAAUCCCCGGGCUCAACCUGGGAACUGCAUUUGAAACUGGCAAGCUAGAGUCUCGUAGAGGGGGGUAGAAUUCCAGGUGUAGCGGUGAAAUGCGUAGAGAUCUGGAGGAAUACCGUGG
RNAcentral lists this ribosomal RNA (367 nucleotides) under uncultured bacterium. RNAcentral describes it as "partial 16S ribosomal RNA". It matches the Rfam family "Bacterial small subunit ribosomal RNA", at positions 355 to 714 of the family's 1533-position model. The record is from RNAcentral.